Molecule: small RNA, 153 nt
Filed under: Chelonoidis abingdonii (Abingdon island giant tortoise)
Lineage: Eukaryota; Metazoa; Chordata; Testudines; Testudinidae
Description: TUC338 (ENSCABG00000012243.1)
Source: RNAcentral
AGAGCGGCCCCAUGGACUGAAGUCCUUUAUUGGCAGAACAGGAACUGCAGGUUAACAGCAGUGCAUGCUCCCCCCAUUGCCCUUCCACUGUGCUGCACACCCCAUCCCAAGAAGAAAAUUCAGCCUUCACAACCCAGUUGAUCCAUGGCCUCU